RNAcentral lists this ribosomal RNA (493 nucleotides) under uncultured bacterium. Its description in RNAcentral is "partial 16S ribosomal RNA". It matches the Rfam family "Bacterial small subunit ribosomal RNA", at positions 29 to 523 of the family's 1533-position model. The record is from RNAcentral.
AUUGAACGCUGGCGGCAUGCUUUACACACGCAAGUCGAAGGGUAACAGGUUAAGCUGACGAGUGGCGAACGGGUGAGUAAUGCAUCGGAACGUGCCCGAUCGUGGGGGAUAACGCAGCGAAAGCUGCGCUAAUACCGCAUACGAUCUGAGGAUGAAAGCGGGGGACCGUAAGGCCUCGCGCGAUCGGAGCGGCCGAUGUCAGAUUAGGUAGGUGGGGGGGUAAAGGCCCACCAAGCCGACGAUCUGUAGCUGGUCUGAGAGGACGACCAGCCACACUGGGACUGAGACACGGCCCAGACUCCUACGGGAGGCAGCAGUGGGGAAUUUUGGACAAUGGGCGAAAGCCUGAUCCAGCAAUGCCGCGUGCAGGAAGAAGGCCUUCGGGUUGUAAACUGCUUUUGUACGGAGCGAAAAGGUCCUUUCUAAUACAAGGGGCUCAUGACGGUACCGUAAGAAUAAGCACCGGCUAACUACGUGCCAGCCGCCGCAGUAA